AACCUGCGGAGGAUCAUUA
This 19-nucleotide ribosomal RNA is filed under the name Neofusicoccum arbuti. RNAcentral's name for it is "partial 18S ribosomal RNA". The record is from RNAcentral. Lineage: Eukaryota; Fungi; Ascomycota; Dothideomycetes; Botryosphaeriales; Botryosphaeriaceae.